Molecule: ribosomal RNA, 756 nt
Filed under: uncultured Actinomycetaceae bacterium
Lineage: Bacteria; Bacillati; Actinomycetota; Actinomycetes; Actinomycetales; Actinomycetaceae
Description: bacterial SSU rRNA
Rfam family: Bacterial small subunit ribosomal RNA
Source: RNAcentral
GACGAACGCUGGCGGCGUGCUUAACACAUGCAAGUCGAACGGGCUCUGUCUGGCUGUGUGCUGGGUGGGGUUAGUGGCGAACGGGUGAGUAAUACGUGAGUAACCUGCCCUCUUCUUUGGGAUAAGCCUUGGAAACGGGGUCUAAUACUGGAUAUUCCUGUCUGGUCGCAUGGCUGGGUGGGGAAAGUUUUUUCGGUGGGGGAUGGGCUCGCGGCCUAUCAGCUUGUUGGUGGGGUGAUGGCCUACCAAGGCGUCGACGGGUAGCCGGCCUGAGAGGGUGACCGGCCACACUGGGACUGAGAUACGGCCCAGACUCCUACGGGAGGCAGCAGUGGGGGAUAUUGCACAAUGGGCGCAAGCCUGAUGCAGCGACGCCGCGUGGGGGAUGACGGCUUUCGGGUUGUAAACCUCUUUCGUCGGGGGACAAGGCUCUGCUUGGUGGUGGGGUUGAGGGUACCCGGUGAAGAAGCGCCGGCUAACUACGUGCCAGCAGCCGCGGUAAUACGUAGGGCGCGAGCGUUGUCCGGAAUUAUUGGGCGUAAAGGGCUCGUAGGCGGCUUGUCGCGUCUGCUGUGAAAAUGCGGGGCUUAACUCCGUACGUGCAGUGGGUACGGGCAGGCUAGAGUGCGGUAGGGGUGACUGGAAUUCCUGGUGUAGCGGUGGAAUGCGCAGAUAUCAGGAGGAACACCGAUGGCGAAAGCAGGUCACUGGGCUGUUACUGACGCUGAGGAGCGAAAGCGUGGGGGAGCGAACAGG